UGCGGGAUCAGCCGGGCCUCUGCUAGACUCGGAAGAGAACACCGUCAAGGCGUCUGCCACCCACGUGCCAGAUACUGCAGACUUGGACUCGUUUUCAGUAGGGGAUCUUGUCUUGGAGGGCUUCCCAGCUGUGAGGCCGUCCAAACUCAGGGGAAGGGGCAUGCUGUCUGCGCCACCCCAAAGUACUGGAGUGACCAGCUGACCAGGGUGUGUGGACUUUAUUGAUGACCCAGGUCAUACACCUCAGUAUCCAGGGAAUCCUUGGGGGGAAAUUCGGAGGGGGGAACCCACCUUGGCUUGGGGGCAUAUGUGUCUCUAUGGUAACUGAGAAAAGUUUGCCCCGGGGGUGAACCAAAAAUGUGACAGCUCUUCUGAGCAGCAUCUCUGUAGUCUCAGCAGCCUCUGGCCACAAUGCCAGUUUCAGGAUGUUGAGGCUGCCACCAGGUGUGCUCCACUGGGGUACUUGGAUGGACAGCAUGCGCUCAACCAGUGGCUUAAACCAGCACUUCAACCGCCAGAGUCCAGUUCCGUACUCGUAGGACGCCCAGGAUUGAAGGUCAAGUCUGGGGAAGAAUCACUGGUGUUCUGUAUCAAAUCCCAUCUUGAAGGCCUUCCGGUCCAGACCUCAGCUUCCGGGGAAGACGUUUACUGUCGGCUCCUGCCCAGUGGACAGAAAUAAGUGGUUGACCACAAAGCCUGUGCCUUGAGUACUUCCCAAAGGAAUGCCCAUGUAGAGAAAGACCAUGGUCCCCAAGAUAGCUCCAUGCCUGGAACACACAGGGGGCAGUGCUGCUGUCGAGGAGGAAGCUGUGUGUCUGGAGGUGGCUCUUUUCUGCGGUCCUCAAGGAGAGGUUUCCUUCAGUAUACUCCAUCUUUUAUGACAAAUUAUUCACACCAAAGGGCUUCGCCAGUGGCUCAGCUGAUAAUGAACCCGCCUUCCAAUGCAGGAGAUAGAAGAGAUAUAGGUUCAAUCCCCGAGUCAAGAAGAUCCCCUGGAGAUGGAAGUGGCAACCUGCUCCAGUAGUUUUACCUGGAGAAUUCCAUGGACAGAGGAGCCUGGCAGGCUGCAGCCCAUGGGGUCGCAAAGACUUGGACAUGACUGAGCAUGCACGCGUCAGGGGGCAUCCACACCAACCUCUCUUCAGUAUCAAAUACCAGCUUGAAAGAUUUCCUGAACGAGACAAAAGUUGUCAGCUCAAGUCCAGGGACUCCAUGGAGGUGACGCCAACCUUUGGGGAAGAAAGUGGUUCUUGGUCAGCUCUAAAGCCGGGACACAGAGAACCACAGCUUACCUGGAAGAUUACCUGGACCCAUAGCCGAUUCCUUGCAGGGCCUGGGUGUCUGUUCACUGCAGACCACAUCUCCGGCCCCUUGACCACAAAAUGUGGGAUUUAUCUGUGAAUUUGCUCCUGAUAACGUUGACCUUGGGAUGCAAACCAUUGCUGGGACACUUCCUGAGGCCUGAUAUAUCAAUAUUUCCAGAAGGAGGUUACAGUGUCCCCAUCAAGGAAAGCUCCAAUUCCUGGAAAGCAGUUGUAACUAAAUGUUCUCUGUACUGGUGGAAAAUAUUUCACAAGUGACCUCUAUGCAGUGUUAAGUCUUAAAGGGUUUCUUGGCUGACCUCUGGAAGCAACCCCAAGACACUCAAUUCAGACUCUUCGCUUGUAUACGACACAUGUCAACUGGUCCAUCCGGGGCCACACAGACUCUGGAAAACUUCUCCAGCAUCAGCGGAAGGCUGCACGAUGUUUUGCUUUUUUUUUUGGUGUGUGUUUUUGACCAGGGCUAAUCUUCGAUACUUGAAGGAGAGGUUAUCCGUGUUGUCUUCUCUUUAUUUAUGAUGAAACAUACACGGGAAACCUCUUUUUUAGUAUCAAAUCCCACCCUGGAGGCACGUCCUGUUCCCGAUGCAGCCUUCAGGGAAGGGACGUGGCCAGCUGCACUCUGAGUAGCCGGGGGAAGGCGGACUGUCGGGUGUCGCAGGGACAGCUGCUUGGAAGGGAAGCCACGUUUGGAGAAGGGCCCAGCUUGCUGUGUUGGAGGGAGGCUGCCCCUUGCGGGGUGACUCACGGUGGGUGGUGGCGCCUCCGGGUGGGAUCCAGCCAGGAUGGCUCUCUGGACACACCAGCCGCUCUCCAGGGUAGCUGAGGGGAUGGUAGGCCGGUGACGUGCACUUCAUUUACGAUGUAGGUCACCCGUUUGACUAUCCACCAGCACCCAGUCCAUCUGUGGGAUGACAUCUUGGCGACUUUGGAAAAGAUACAGGAGGAUGGGGGACCGGUGUGAGUCUGCUGUAUGGGAAGAGGGGUUGCCCUCAGGGGCUCCCUCUCCCGCCUUUUAAAAAAUAAGUAGAAGCGAUCGUCAGUCAAUCGUCUCUUCCCAGUCAAACCUCUCCCAGGCGGAUGGCUAAGCUGCACUGCAAGCGUUAGGGAGGAGGCCCAGCCCACAGCACAGGUUGAAGACAGGACCUGUGUGUUACCUGCUUCAGGGUCCUGUCUGUCCAGAGUGUGUGCCUGUGUGUGUGUGUGUGUGUGUGUCUAUGGCCGAUAGUGCUAAUGUUGGGAGCACCUUCUUUCGUGACGUCAGCUCUCUUUUGCGGGGUCUGAAAAGAGGCUGUUUGAUGAGAUUGUCAUGUAUGAGAUGAAUAUCACAUGGUCCAUCUCUUUUCAGUAGUAAAACCACCUGGAGGAUUUCCCGGAUGUGAUGCCUGACUCCAGGCAGCACCACUGGUAUCUGUGCCGCUGCCAGUGAGCAAGUAGCUGAGGCACCGGCCUCGGUGUGUGCUCACAGGCAGGUUUCAAUGUGCGCCUCCUGGAUCGUUACCACCUGUAGAACCCAACCUCUCCCUGAGUGCAUUUCAAACCCACGUUCAUCGCCUGGGGAGGAGGCUUUGCUGUCGUCACUCAUCUCUGUGUCUGUUGUUCAGCAUUUUUUUGACCUAGGAGGACUCAUCCAGGAUGGACACUGGUCAUUGUCAGAUACUGCUUCAGAUGCAUUCUGGACAUGACACCUAUGGCAGAGAACACGCCUUGGAGUUCACCAUCUGUGAAGGGAACACCAUUGGCAUGGGCCCCUCUCCAAGAGACCUGAAGGACGGUUGGACCCCAGAACAUCUCCCCUGCCUCCUUCGCCCGCAGGCUCCUCGCUCCCUGGGAGGACUUCCUGCAAGUGAUGCUGACUUUGGAAAAGACAUCAUUUCUUCAUCCCUAUUGUCCAGUGGCCCUCUGUGAUGGAUUUUCUGUAUUUGUCACAAGUCAUCCUGAACAGACUGCCUUGUAGAACUAGACCAUCUCUCAAAGGAACCAGGAGUGUCUGUAAGAAGGGGAUGCUGGAAUCAGGAGCUUGCCAGGCACCCUAAGGGUGGUCCAUGGACAGCAGAUGCUGCUUCAGCAGUUUGUCCCACCUAAUUUGAGGUCCUUGGCUUCGCAUUUCUCAAGAGGAUGCCUUGCAGAACCACUGACUCACGGAGGAGAUUUUAUUUCAGGGUCCCAGACCA
This is a long non-coding RNA of Bos taurus (domestic cattle), 3496 nucleotides long. Lineage: Eukaryota; Metazoa; Chordata; Mammalia; Artiodactyla; Bovidae. The record is from Ensembl.